RNAcentral lists this ribosomal RNA (489 nucleotides) under uncultured bacterium. RNAcentral's name for it is "partial 16S ribosomal RNA". It matches the Rfam family "Bacterial small subunit ribosomal RNA", at positions 29 to 507 of the family's 1533-position model. The record is from RNAcentral.
AUGAACGCUAGCUACAGGCUUAACCCAUGCCAGUCGCGGGGCAGCAUGGGGGUUGCUUGCACUCCCCGAUGGCGACCGGCGCACGGGUGAGUAACGCGUAUCCAACCUGCCCUUCACCACGGGAUAACCCGGCGAAAGUCGGACUAAUACCGUAUGUUGUCCAUUGACGGCAUCCGAUUUGGACGAAAGGUUUGGCGGUGAAGGAUGGGGAUGCGUCCGAUUAGCUGGACGGCGGGGUGACGGCCCACCGUGGCGACGAUCGGUAGGGGUUCUGAGAGGAAGGUCCCCCACACUGGAACUGAGACACGGUCCAGACUCCUACGGGAGGCAGCAGUGAGGAAUAUUGGUCAAUGGGCGUAAGCCUGAACCAGCCAAGUAGCGUGCAGGAUGACGGCCCUAUGGGUUGUAAACUGCUUUUAUGCGGGGAUAAAGUGGCCCACGUGUGGGUUUUUGCAGGUACCGCAUGAAUAAGGACCGGCUAAUUCCGUG